AGAGUUUGAUCCUGGCUCAGGAUGAACGCUAGCUACAGGCUUAACACAUGCAAGUCGAGGGGAAACGAUAUUGGAAGCUUGCUUCCGAUAGGCGUCGACCGGCGCACGGGUGAGUAACGCGUAUCCAACCUGCCCAUCACUUGGGAAUAACCUUGCGAAAGUAAGACUAAUGCCCAAUGACAUUUAUAGAAGGCAUCGGAAAUGAAUUAAAGAUUUAUCGGUGAUGGAUGGGGAUGCGUCUGAUUAGCUUGUUGGCGGGGUAACGGCCCACCAAGGCGACGAUCAGUAGGGGUUCUGAGAGGAAGGUCCCCCACAUUGGAACUGAGACACGGUCCAAACUCCUACGGGAGGCAGCAGUGAGGAAUAUUGGUCAAUGGGCGAGAGCCUGAACCAGCCAAGUAGCGCGCAGGAUGACGGCCCUAUGGGUUGUAAACUGCUUUUAUAGGGGAAUAAAGCGAGCCACGUGUGGUUUUUUGCAUGUACCCUAUGAAUAAGGACCGGCUAAUUCCGUGCCAGCAGCCGCGGUAAUACGGAAGGUCCGGGCGUUAUCCGGAUUUAUUGGGUUUAAAGGGAGCGUAGGCCGGAGAUUAAGCGUGUUGUGAAAUGUAGAUGCUCAACAUCUGCACUGCAGCGCGAACUGGUUUCCUUGAGUACGCAUAAAGUGGGCGGAAUUCGUGGUGUAGCGGUGAAAUGCUUAGAUAUCACGAAGAACUCCGAUUGCGAAGGCAGCUCACUGGGGCGCAACUGACGCUGAAGCUCGAAAGCGCGGGUAUCGAACAGGAUUAGAUACCCUGGUAGUCCGCGCGGUAAACGAUGGAUGCCCGCUGUUGGGCCAACUGGUUCAGCGGCCAAGCGAAAGCAUUAAGCAUCCCACCUGGGGAGUACGCCGGCAACGGUGAAACUCAAAGGAAUUGACGGGGGCCCGCACAAGCGGAGGAACAUGUGGUUUAAUUCGAUGAUACGCGAGGAACCUUACCCGGGCUUGAAUUGCAGAGGAAGGAUUUGGAGACAAUGACGCCCUUCGGGGCCUCUGUGAAGGUGCUGCAUGGUUGUCGUCAGCUCGUGUCGUGAGAUGUUGGGUUAAGUCCCGCAACGAGCGCAACCCCUAUCCUCAGUAGCCAGCAUUUAAGGUGGGCACUCUGGGGAGACUGCCAGGGAUAACCUGGAGGAAGGCGGGGAUGACGUCAAAUCAUCAUGCCCCUUAUGAUUUGGGCUACACACGUGCUACAAUGGCGUAAACAAAGGGAAGCGAGAUUGUGAGAUGGAGCAAAUCCCAAAAAUAACGUCCCAGUUCGGACUGUAGUCUGCAACCCGACUACACGAAGCUGGAAUCGCUAGUAAUCGCGGAUCAGAAUGCCGCGGUGAAUACGUUCCCGGGUCUUGUACACACCGCCCGUCACACCAUGGGAGUCAGUAACGCCCGAAGUCAGUGACCUAACUGCAAAGAAGGAGCUGCCGAAGGCGGGACCGAUGACUGGGGUGAAGUCGUAACAAGGUA
Molecule: ribosomal RNA, 1498 nt
Filed under: metagenome
Description: bacterial SSU rRNA
Rfam family: Bacterial small subunit ribosomal RNA
Source: RNAcentral